Molecule: transfer RNA, 72 nt
Filed under: Camelus bactrianus (Bactrian camel)
Lineage: Eukaryota; Metazoa; Chordata; Mammalia; Artiodactyla; Camelidae
Also listed under: 2 other names
Rfam family: tRNA
About the family: Transfer RNA (tRNA) molecules are approximately 80 nucleotides in length. Their secondary structure includes four short double-helical elements and three loops (D, anti-codon, and T loops). Further hydrogen bonds mediate the characteristic L-shaped molecular structure. tRNAs have two regions of fundamental functional importance: the anti-codon, which is responsible for specific mRNA codon recognition, and the 3' end, to which the tRNAs corresponding amino acid is attached (by aminoacyl-tRNA synthetases). tRNAs cope with the degeneracy of the genetic code in two manners: having more than one tRNA (with a specific anti-codon) for a particular amino acid; and 'wobble' base-pairing, i.e. permitting non-standard base-pairing at the 3rd anti-codon position.
Source: Rfam by way of RNAcentral
GGAGGUACAGAUCAAUGGCAGAGUGCACGCCUAGCAUGUAUGAGGUCCUGGGUUCAAUCCCCAGUAUCUCCA